Molecule: ribosomal RNA, 2924 nt
Filed under: Escherichia coli
Lineage: Bacteria; Pseudomonadati; Pseudomonadota; Gammaproteobacteria; Enterobacterales; Enterobacteriaceae
Description: LSU rRNA
Rfam family: Bacterial large subunit ribosomal RNA
Source: RNAcentral
GGUUAAGCGACUAAGCGUACACGGUGGAUGCCCUGGCAGUCAGAGGCGAUGAAGGACGUGCUAAUCUGCGAUAAGCGUCGGUAAGGUGAUAUGAACCGUUAUAACCGGCGAUUUCCGAAUGGGGAAACCCAGUGUGUUUCGACACACUAUCAUUAACUGAAUCCAUAGGUUAAUGAGGCGAACCGGGGGAACUGAAACAUCUAAGUACCCCGAGGAAAAGAAAUCAACCGAGAUUCCCCCAGUAGCGGCGAGCGAACGGGGAGGAGCCCAGAGCCUGAAUCAGUGUGUGUGUUAGUGGAAGCGUCUGGAAAGGCGCGCGAUACAGGGUGACAGCCCCGUACACAAAAAUGCACAUGCUGUGAGCUCGAUGAGUAGGGCGGGACACGUGGUAUCCUGUCUGAAUAUGGGGGGACCAUCCUCCAAGGCUAAAUACUCCUGACUGACCGAUAGUGAACCAGUACCGUGAGGGAAAGGCGAAAAGAACCCCGGCGAGGGGAGUGAAAAAGAACCUGAAACCGUGUACGUACAAGCAGUGGGAGCACGCUUAGGCGUGUGACUGCGUACCUUUUGUAUAAUGGGUCAGCGACUUAUAUUCUGUAGCAAGGUUAACCGAAUAGGGGAGCCGAAGGGAAACCGAGUCUUAACUGGGCGUUAAGUUGCAGGAUAUAGACCCGAAACCCGGUGAUCUAGCCAUGGGCAGGUUGAAGGUUGGGUAACACUAACUGGAGGACCGAACCGACUAAUGUUGAAAAAUUAGCGGAUGACUUGUGGCUGGGGGUGAAAGGCCAAUCAAACCGGGAGAUAGCUGGUUCUCCCCGAAAGCUAUUUAGGUAGCGCCUCGUGAAUUCAUCUCCGGGGGUAGAGCACUGUUUCGGCAAGGGGGUCAUCCCGACUUACCAACCCGAUGCAAACUGCGAAUACCGGAGAAUGUUAUCACGGGAGACACACGGCGGGUGCUAACGUCCGUCGUGAAGAGGGAAACAACCCAGACCGCCAGCUAAGGUCCCAAAGUCAUGGUUAAGUGGGAAACGAUGUGGGAAGGCCCAGACAGCCAGGAUGUUGGCUUAGAAGCAGCCAUCAUUUAAAGAAAGCGUAAUAGCUCACUGGUCGAGUCGGCCUGCGCGGAAGAUGUAACGGGGCUAAACCAUGCACCGAAGCUGCGGCAGCGACGCUGAUGCGUUGUUGGGUAGGGGAGCGUUCUGUAAGCCUGCGAAGGUGUGCUGUGAGGCAUGCUGGAGGUAUCAGAAGUGCGAAUGCUGACAUAAGUAACGAUAAAGCGGGUGAAAAGCCCGCUCGCCGGAAGACCAAGGGUUCCUGUCCAACGUUAAUCGGGGCAGGGUGAGUCGACCCCUAAGGCGAGGCCGAAAGGCGUAGUCGAUGGGAAACAGGUUAAUAUUCCUGUACUUGGUGUUACUGCGAAGGGGGGACGGAGAAGGCUAUGUUGGCCGGGCGACGGUUGUCCCGGUUUAAGCGUGUAGGCUGGUUUUCCAGGCAAAUCCGGAAAAUCAAGGCUGAGGCGUGAUGACGAGGCACUACGGUGCUGAAGCAACAAAUGCCCUGCUUCCAGGAAAAGCCUCUAAGCAUCAGGUAACAUCAAAUCGUACCCCAAACCGACACAGGUGGUCAGGUAGAGAAUACCAAGGCGCUUGAGAGAACUCGGGUGAAGGAACUAGGCAAAAUGGUGCCGUAACUUCGGGAGAAGGCACGCUGAUAUGUAGGUGAAGUCCCUCGCGGAUGGAGCUGAAAUCAGUCGAAGAUACCAGCUGGCUGCAACUGUUUAUUAAAAACACAGCACUGUGCAAACACGAAAGUGGACGUAUACGGUGUGACGCCUGCCCGGUGCCGGAAGGUUAAUUGAUGGGGUUAGCGCAAGCGAAGCUCUUGAUCGAAGCCCCGGUAAACGGCGGCCGUAACUAUAACGGUCCUAAGGUAGCGAAAUUCCUUGUCGGGUAAGUUCCGACCUGCACGAAUGGCGUAAUGAUGGCCAGGCUGUCUCCACCCGAGACUCAGUGAAAUUGAACUCGCUGUGAAGAUGCAGUGUACCCGCGGCAAGACGGAAAGACCCCGUGAACCUUUACUAUAGCUUGACACUGAACAUUGAGCCUUGAUGUGUAGGAUAGGUGGGAGGCUUUGAAGUGUGGACGCCAGUCUGCAUGGAGCCGACCUUGAAAUACCACCCUUUAAUGUUUGAUGUUCUAACGUUGACCCGUAAUCCGGGUUGCGGACAGUGUCUGGUGGGUAGUUUGACUGGGGCGGUCUCCUCCUAAAGAGUAACGGAGGAGCACGAAGGUUGGCUAAUCCUGGUCGGACAUCAGGAGGUUAGUGCAAUGGCAUAAGCCAGCUUGACUGCGAGCGUGACGGCGCGAGCAGGUGCGAAAGCAGGUCAUAGUGAUCCGGUGGUUCUGAAUGGAAGGGCCAUCGCUCAACGGAUAAAAGGUACUCCGGGGAUAACAGGCUGAUACCGCCCAAGAGUUCAUAUCGACGGCGGUGUUUGGCACCUCGAUGUCGGCUCAUCACAUCCUGGGGCUGAAGUAGGUCCCAAGGGUAUGGCUGUUCGCCAUUUAAAGUGGUACGCGAGCUGGGUUUAGAACGUCGUGAGACAGUUCGGUCCCUAUCUGCCGUGGGCGCUGGAGAACUGAGGGGGGCUGCUCCUAGUACGAGAGGACCGGAGUGGACGCAUCACUGGUGUUCGGGUUGUCAUGCCAAUGGCACUGCCCGGUAGCUAAAUGCGGAAGAGAUAAGUGCUGAAAGCAUCUAAGCACGAAACUUGCCCCGAGAUGAGUUCUCCCUGACUCCUUGAGAGUCCUGAAGGAACGUUGAAGACGACGACGUUGAUAGGCCGGAUGUGUAAGCGCAGCGAUGCGUUGAGCUAACCGGUACUAAUGAACCGUGAGGCUUAACCUUACAACGCCGAAGGUGUUUUG